RNAcentral lists this ribosomal RNA (481 nucleotides) under Sesamia sp. SETAG3729. RNAcentral describes it as "partial 16S large subunit ribosomal RNA". Lineage: Eukaryota; Metazoa; Arthropoda; Insecta; Lepidoptera; Noctuidae. The record is from RNAcentral.
UGUCUUUUUGAAAAUAAUAUAAAGUCUAAUCUGCCCACUGAUUUAAUAUUAAAGGGCUGCAGUAUAUUGACUGUACAAAGGUAGCAUAAUCAUUAGUCAUUUAAUUGGUGACUUGUAUGAAGGAUUGGAUGAAAUAUAAACUGUCUCUUAAUUAUUGUGUUAAGAAUUUAAUUUUUUAAUUAAAAAGUUAAAAUAUAUUAAAAAGACGAGAAGACCCUAUAGAGUUUUAUGAAUUAAAUUAAUUAAGAUUAUUUGUAAGAAUUAAAAUUAAAAUUAAUUUAUUUAUUUUGUUGGGGUGACAGAAAAAUAUAAUAAACUUUUUAUAUAUUUAAAACAUUAAUAAGUGAUUAAAUGAUCCAAUAUUAUUGAUUAUAAGAAAAAAUUACCUUAGGGAUAACAGCGUAAUUUUUUUUUUUAGUUCAUAUAAAAAAAAAAGUUUGCGACCUCGAUGUUGGAUUAAGAUAAAAUUUAAAUGCAGAAG